AAUUCGAUUCAACAACACCUAUUUCACUCAGCGAACCGACUUCCAGCUACUCAAAUGGUAAAAUAUCAAUAACCACCGCUUGCAUAUUUGAGUAUUCGAAGUUGAAAUACAAAUGGUUUAUUGUCAAAGAUGGAUCUGAAACAGAAUAUAUGAUUGAACAAGGUAGAUCAAUUUUCGAUGCCAACAAUUCUUCAUGCAAUCAAUGUGACGGCGAUUCACUAACAUCUUUAACAACAGGUUUUAUACAUACUGAAGGAAAUGGAAGUGGCUCUCAGACAGUUUCAUUUAAAAUUCAAAUAUACCACGAAGAUUAUCCAUUGGAGGUUAAAAGCUUAUUGACUAGUCAUGUAUAUACAAUACAACAACGAAAAGAAACGGUAACAUGUACCACUCCAGAAUGUUCGGUAUGUACAAAUACUUUGACAUUAAUUGGUGUCGCUUUUGGAACCUUUGUUUUUACCAUUGUUGCCGUUGUAUUGACUUUUAUGGGUUACAGAUAUAUCAGGUAGUUAUCUUUUUAUAAGAAAUAAGCGUUACCAGGGUUAACAGACAACUUUUCAAUAAUUGGUGUUGUCUGAGGCAACAUAAAUAAUUAUACUUUAAUUCAUAUUUUUUUAACAAAGUCUGAUACAUACGUGAUGUUUGAAUAACUAUCACUUUAAAACAAUAAACAUUAUUUUCUUAUAAAUUCACUUUUC
Molecule: long non-coding RNA, 698 nt
Organism: Ruditapes philippinarum (Manila clam)
Lineage: Eukaryota; Metazoa; Mollusca; Bivalvia; Venerida; Veneridae
Exons: 3
Source: RefSeq, a predicted model, not a curated record